This 507-nucleotide ribosomal RNA is filed under the name uncultured Tissierellia bacterium. RNAcentral's name for it is "bacterial SSU rRNA". It matches the Rfam family "Bacterial small subunit ribosomal RNA", at positions 28 to 506 of the family's 1533-position model. The record is from RNAcentral. Lineage: Bacteria; Bacillati; Bacillota; Tissierellia.
GACGAACGCUGGCGGCGUGCCUAACACAUGCAAGUCGAGCGAGGUACUUAUAACAGAACUCUUCGGAGGGAAGACUUAAGUAGCCUAGCGGCGGAUGGGUGAGUAAUAUAUGAGAAACCUGCCUUUCACAAAGGAAUAGCCUCGGGAAACCGGGAUUAAUACCUUAUGAAACUUGUUAUUCGCAUGAAUAAUAAGUUAAAGCGUAAAGCGGUGAAAGAUGGUCUCAUAUCCCAUUAGCUAGUUGGUGAGAUAGAAGCUCACCAAGGCAACGAUGGGUAACCGGCCUGAGAGGGUGAACGGUCACACUGGAACUGAGACACGGCCCAGACUCCUACGGGAGGCAGCAGUGGGGAAUAUUGGACAAUGGGGGGAACCCUGAUCCAGCAAUACCGCGUGUGUGAAGAAGGCCUUAGGGUUGUAAAGCACUUUUGUUAGGGAGAAUGGUAUUUAUAGCGAACACCUAUAGAUAUCGAUGUUACCUAAAGAAUAAGCACCGGCUAACUCCGU